UGCACUCCAGCCUGGGUGAAAGAGCGAGACUCCGUCUCAAAAAAAAAAAAAGAAACGCUGUUGGGGGCAGGAGCCUGGAUCUCAACCCCUGCAAGGUGGAAAUCUGGCUUCCUCUCACCCAUACGAGCCUGCCAGAGGCAGGAGGCUGACGCCCCGGAGGGACCAGCUGACAUCGGCCUUGAGGGACCAGACUUCUCCAGGCCGGCAACCUUCUCCCAGCUUUGUGAGGUGGAGCCCAACCUCCAGACCAAGAGAGGCCUUCCUGACCUUCAACCCCAUCUCCAGAGCUCCCCAGAGCUGGUCUAGCCCCUCAUCUGACACACAGAGAAACGGAGACCAGGAACCUGACGCUGGUUUCCCUAGCCCAUGUGAGGACCCUGUAGACCAGCUACAUGCACACCCAGUCCAGCCGCCGGACAGCGUUCAGUGGGAAGAGAGCAGACCAUCGUCCACCCACAUUCCAGACUCCAACUGGCAGAGGGGAGGGGACGUUGGGGCUGCAGGGCCACCAAUGUGGACGGGACAGAGCCCCAGGGACAGCCUGUGCUGGGGACGUAUGGGGGCAGGAUCAGACCCCACAGUGCCUGCGGGCCACAAGGCCAAGACAGGAUCUGGUAAGUGACGAUUUGGAGGCUGGUCCUGAGGUGCAAGAGGGAGUGCCAGGGACAGAGAGGGCACCGGGGUGACUACAGUCCCUCCAGACUCACAUCUACCCGCACCUGUGGGUGGGGCCUUAUUUGCAUACAGGGUCUUUGCACACGUGGUUGGUUACAAUGAGGAUGCUGGAGGGGGUGGUCUGUGUCCCUGUUAACAACUCAUGUCCUUAAGAGAAAAGAGGAACGUGGACACCCACACAUCGGGAGACGGCCGCAUGGAGACGGAGCAGAGGCUGGAGUGACGCGGCCGCAGACCAAGGGCGCCUGGAGCCCCGGAAGCUGGGAGGGGCAGGAAGGGUCCUCCCCUGGAGCUACUCCUUGACCUCAGCUUCCUGUGGCCUCCAGGACAGGGACAGGCUGCUCUAAGCCACCCAGUUUGCAGCACUGCUGCGGCCGCCACGAGAAGCUCGUCCAGGGAGGAGGCUGCUCCAGCCCUGAGCCCCACGCGACUCCCGUGAGCACGAGGACUCGGGUGCCCUGGGGUGAGGCGGCACGAGGCUGUCUGUGGAUUUCCACAGCAUCCCAGGAGGCGUCUGGACCGCAGUGGCUCCAGGCUGCCAACCACGGGCAGAGGCCACCGCUCCCGAGCUUGGACCCUGCCACGCGCAGGCACAGGCCAGGCGGCGCCGGGGAAGCCUGGGGGCCCCAGACCGGCCCAGCACCGCCUGACAUUUCUCAAGCAUGCUGGGGGACGGCCCCUCAAUUUAGGAUGAGGACGAGGGAAAGGUGUACUGGCCAGACUCAGCGCCCUGAGGACGGGGUCGGAACCCAGCGCCCAGGAAGCUCCCCUCCCCCCGACCAAGGACCUCCCUCCAGGGUGUGCCCGGAGGAGGUCAAGACUCCACUGCCCUGAAGCAAACAAGGCGUCCAGCCCGAGCCAGGGUCACACGCCCAACAGGUAGGAUCCAGCAACCCCUGCGCAGCAGCCCCCGCCAUGCGAGGGAGGACCCGGAGUUGAGCGUGGCCCUGCCUGACAUCUGACCCCGCCGUCAGGAGCUCCACCAGGUCAGGGCUGCUCAGCUGACCCCACAGCCCCACCAGGCAUGGUCAGCACGGUGCCGAAUGCAGGCCUGGAAAGGGAAUAAAGGAGGCCCUGGGGAGGGGCCUUGGUGCUUCAUCCCAAGCCAACCCCGAAAGUGGAAGCCACAGGGCCAGGGGGACGUCGUGGCUGAGAUGCGAGCAGGGUGCCGGGCACCCCCAAGGCAGCACUGCUGUCCCUGAGAACAGAAGGAAGUCCAGGCCCAGAGUCAGAGCCAAGUGGAGUAGUGGUGGUUGCUGGCACUCAGUCCCGUACCCUUGGACAGAGCAAGAGUCCCAAGCCAGGAAUGUGAGGCCGAUGCCUUUUAGGAAGAAACCACAUCUGGGGAACCAGACCCCAGAUCCCAGAACCCAGACCUCAGAUCCCAGAUCCCAGAUCUCAGACCCCAGAUCCCAGACUU
Molecule: long non-coding RNA, 2095 nt
Filed under: Homo sapiens (human)
Lineage: Eukaryota; Metazoa; Chordata; Mammalia; Primates; Hominidae
Description: HSALNT0395549
Source: RNAcentral